Molecule: long non-coding RNA, 2377 nt
Organism: Oryza brachyantha (malo sina)
Lineage: Eukaryota; Viridiplantae; Streptophyta; Magnoliopsida; Poales; Poaceae
Exons: 5
Source: RefSeq, a predicted model, not a curated record
UUAUAUCAUUAAUCACAACAUUCCUCACAAUCAGUCCUGAUAUACUAAUUAAUCCAUAUUUUAUGUUUGCAUUCAUUCUUCUUUUUAGGUUUGUGAGAAAGAGGUGCCAAUUGGAGGGGUAGUGUUUUAGCAUGUGUUUAGUUGUGCUCUUUUAAAUAGACUCCUUUCUUGUGUUGUGUACUUCUCUCUCUUACAUCUGUUGCUUGUGCUGGGUGGCAGUUAGAAUCUGGUUUAACAUAUUUGGUAUUUUGUAUAGCAGCAGCUUUUUAAAUCUCAAGUUGUGCAUGCCAACAAUCGAGGUAGGGGGUUUUGGGUGUUGCAAAAAGUUUAAAAGUGUGCCUUGUCCAUUGAUCUAAACAGAAUACUGUAUGUCGUUCAUUGCCAAAAAAAAUCAUGAUGUUCAGAGUUUAGUUUCUCAGUUUAUUUAUUGAAUGGUUGCUAGCAGUUGCAAGCUCAUUCUAUGUAUGGUACUUGAGUUUGCUAGCAUCAGAUUCAGCUGGAAAGAGGCAUUUCUUUGUGUGUGUGUGUGUGUGUUGUCUGGUUUUGUGAAAGCAGCAACCUAAUGCUAUUUGUGUUAAAUAUCGCCAAAAUAGCCUUAGUGUUCUCCACAAAUUCCUCCAGUUUCUUCCUUGAGCUUUUCUGGCUUCCACCUAUUUUGACAUGUAGGUGAUUUUUUUAAAGCUCAGGUUGCCCACCUUUUAUUACCAUUGUGUUUGCUGCUAUUUUAAUAUUGGCAGAACAAUAAUAGGCCAAUAGCCAGUUGGUAAGUUGAGAAAAGUGUGCCAGGUAAUCAGACAUUUCUCUGAAUUCUGAAUAUACACAAUGGAAAGAGACGAUAUGUAAAUUGACUAAAAUAAUCUAUGAUUGGGGACCCAGUUAUGAACUACUAAUAACAUAUUUUGCACAAAAGAAAAACAGACAGUAGCCAAGUGUUUCCCACUAACCGUCAGGACUGUUUCUCUAAGACUUAAAUUAUGUUACUUCCAUUGCAUUUGGUUUGCUACUUCCAGAAGAAAUACUUCAUGUGAUUUUAUAGUAACAGUAAUAUGCUCAUGCAUUGCAAUGGGACCAUAUGAUUGGGGAUGGGUUUCAUAGGCCCAUACAACUGGGAUGGAGACUUGGAGAGUGGAUAGGAAACUUUUGUCUGGUUUUUUCUCCAGGGGAGGCGCGAUUCGUGCAAUGUGGGAAAGUGGGAGGAGGACGGCCUUUUUAAGUAGUUAAGAUUUAUAGCAUUCUCUUUCUUCUUCUUUUUUCCUUUUUUUUUUUGUAAACCAUGGUGUUUUCUCCUUUUUGUGUCUAUAGAGAUAAGUUUGUUCACUACCAUGGACUCGAAGUGUGCCCUACCUAAUCAAAACCGAUCAUUUGCUCCCCUUUUUUGCGGGAACUUCAGGCAUUUUUGUCGCCCAAGUGGGCUCAUGUAUGACCCACGAUGCUGAAGCCUGAAUUUGCGAUUCUGGUAUUCAGAGCUGACCAGACCAAUCCGGCAACAGCUUUCCACCUUGCUGAAAUUCCAAACCAGAUUAGUGAUAGGAAGAUGCUUUGUUUUGUGCCACAACAGAUUUCUCUUAAAGUUUGAUAUUGUAGGGGCACCGCCUGGAUUGAUUUGAGCACAUGCAAGUGUGUGGAAGGAGCACGCCUUAGUUUAUAUGGAUAGCUGUUGAUCUUGGUGUUCCUGAAUUGUAUGCUGACAUUGUUCUGUUGUUACAGUUGUUGACAGGACUUGUGAAUUGUCAAAUAUUCAUGGUUCGUGAAAUCUUUUCAAGGCAUAGUACAUCAAAGCAUCGAGCAGGAACUAGAACUGAGGGUGUGUGCUGAUCUGCAGACCAAGUUUUGAUCACCAGGUCAAAGUCGAUGGCCGAACCUUGUUUCAAAACAGCCAAUGGGCGAACAGAAAAAUGGCAGUAUCUGGCGCCCACGUUUCUUUCCUACCGUUUCGGAUGCGUGGAGCUAAAGCGAAGCUAGCGUGGUGGCAACUGUAGCACUGGACCGCUUCGUGGUAAUUUUUUUGGCCAUCACCUAGUUGCCACUUGAAGGAGUUUAUCACGAGGCAGGACUCAGGAGACAUGAGAGGAUGGGGGGGCGUAACUGAACAUCGGCGCAAACCCUGUACACGUGUGCAAAGCAAGUCCUUCAAGACGGUUCGUUGCACGGGGAAAUAUCUUCCCUACAAGAAGUGAUGUACGGUUCGUUGUGUGGCAUUCACGGUAAGUAAAGAAGAAUGUCUGGAAAAAAUCAGAAAAUGACAUGAUAUGAUCACAGUACACACUCCAAAAAAAAAUCACGAUAAAAAGGGCGUUUUGUUCACACUGGAGUCUAGGGUACUUUUAGAACAUUUGCCUGGCAUCAUUUUUCCUAAACGAUUGAUCCUCCGUUUGAA